GCCGCGACCCCGGCCCGGCGCCGGCCCCGCCCCGCCCCGCGCCCAGGGGUCCCGGGGCGGGCUCCGGGCUUGGGGCGGACGAUGCGGCGGCGCGGCCGGAGCGGCGGCGGGAAGCGGAGGCGGAGGUGACGCGCCGGGCCGGCGGGCCGGGCCAUGCAGCGCUCCCGGGCGGCCGCGGACGAGGCGGCCCUGCUCCUGGCCGGGCUGGCCCUGCGGGAGCUGGAGGCGGGCGGCGACUCUCCAGGCCGGGGUCGGCGGGGGCCGCGGCCCGGGCCGGGAGACGAGGCGGCGCAGGCGCUGGGCCGCAGAGGGAAGGGCGGCGGCGGCGGCGGCGGCCCCGAGGCCGGGCCGGACGGACUGAGCCGUGGGGAGCGAGGCCCGCGGCGCGCGGCGGCCCCCGAGCUCAGCGCGCAGCCUGCGGGCAGCCCGCGGGCCAGCCUGGCGGGCUCCGACGGCGGCGGCGGCAGCGCCCGCUCCAGCGGCAUCAGCCUGGGCUACGACCAGCGCCACGGCAGCCCGCGCUCCGGCCGCUCGGACCCGCGCCCCGGCCCCGGGCCGCCGUCGGUGGGCAGCGCCCGCUCCAGCGUGUCCAGUCUCGGCUCCCGCGGCUCGGCCGGCGCCUACGCCGACCUGCUCCCGCCCGGCGCCGGCCCCGCGCCGACUCGCUCCCCGGAGCCUGCGGGGCCGACCCCCUUCCCUCUGCCUUCGCUGCAGCUGCCCGCGGGCCGAGAGGGCGGCCCGAGCGCGGCGGAGCGGCGGCUGGAGGCGCUGACCCGCGAGCUGGAGCGGGCGCUGGAGGCGCGCACGGCGCGGGACUACUUCGGCAUCUGCAUCCAGUGUGGGCUUGGCAUCUACGGAGCAAGGCAGGCGUGCCAGGCCAUGGGGAGCCUUUACCACACAGAUUGCUUCACCUGCGACUCCUGUGGCAGACGACUUCGAGGGAAGGCGUUCUACAACGUGGGUGAGAAAGUCUACUGCCAGGAGGACUUCCUGUACUCCGGGUUCCAGCAAACAGCUGACAAGUGUAGCGUGUGUGGACACCUCAUCAUGGAGAUGAUCCUGCAGGCCCUUGGGAAGUCCUACCACCCAGGCUGUUUCCGGUGCUCAGUGUGCAACGAGUGCCUGGACGGGGUGCCCUUCACCGUGGACGUGGAGAACAACAUCUACUGCGUCAGAGACUAUCACACGGUUUUUGCACCAAAAUGUGCCUCCUGUGCCCGUCCUAUCCUCCCUGCACAGGGCUGUGAGACCACCAUCCGUGUGGUGUCCAUGGACAGAGACUACCACGUGGAGUGUUACCACUGUGAGGACUGCGGGCUGCAGCUGAGCGGGGAGGACGGACGCCGCUGCUACCCCCUGGAGGGCCACCUGCUGUGCCGCCGCUGCCACCUGCGGCGCCUCCGGCCCGGCCCCCUUCCCUCACCUGCCGUGCACGUCACGGAGCUCUGAGCGCCGGAGGGGAGCCCCGCUGGGGCCGCGCGUGCGCGCGCGUGCGUGCGCGUGCGCGCGCGUGCGUGCGCGUGCGAGAGAGCGCGCCCGGGCGGGAUGGGUGACCAGACUUCGGAAUAAUGUGGGGUUUUGUGUCCGUGUCUGAAGAGCAGUGACCUAAUGAAAUGUGGUUUGGGAAACGCAGAUUAAUUUUCUUUCCUGUUGUCCCACAUCAGUGCACAUCAGCAUUGGGAAGCUGGGACGUCUCAGCGAUGGCUUAUGUUGGAUUUGUACCCGUGGGUGGCCCCUGCGGCAAGAGACCCCUAAUCAUGAUAACCCAUCAGUGGGAUAUUUUGACUUAAGUCCAUUUGCGCCUGAGUCACCAGUGAGCUGCUCCUGGCCACUGCUCUUGCCCUCCCCUGUUAGAUGUGGUCUCUUUGCUUGUAGGAUCACAGCUGGGGAGGCAAGGCUGUAGGAAUCAGAACAGAACGUUGCCUCCGAUUGCCUUUUGGGAUUCAUCGGAGAGGAAGUGGCAGCCAUUGGGGGCCAGCUGGGCUGAGGCCUGGAGCUGGGGGGCUCCCCUGGUGGACUGAGGGGAGCAAGUACACGGGUAGUUUUGUGUUCACCAAGUAUCUAUUUAAAUGCAGAGGUUGUCCUGGGAUGGGGGAAGUGUGUGUUUUCUUCCUUUCUUUUCUUUUUUUUUUUUUUUUUUAAGAUUUUACUUAUUUGACACAGAGAGAGAGACAGCAAGAGAGGGAACACAAGCAGGGAGAGUGGGAAAGGGAGAAGCAGGCUUCCUGCCAAGCAGAGAGCCCGAUGCGGGGCUCGAUCCCAGGAUCCUGAGAUCAUGACCUGAGCCGAAGGCAGUCACUUAACCAACUGAGCCACCCAGGCACCCCAAGUGUGUGUUUUCUGAGAAGGGGACUUCGAUAAGAUCAGGUGGCUUCUCGGAGGCGGUGAUCGCAACGGGGCAAGAGAGAGUACAUUUCAGGAACGGGAGGCUGUUUCUGGCUUUCUCUUACUCCUAAGCUGGGUGGUUUUACUUUCUAGCCAGUUACUGCAAAGCUUUCUUCUGGAUGUCAUCUCUUUUUGCUUCUGACAUCAAAGCUGCUUUGCCCUUGGUUUCUCCUUGCUGCAAACUCAGCCCUUCUCUUUUCUCUGCCUUCGUGUGUGCUGUGGAGGUCACCACCCACACCUGCUCCAGCCUGGUUACUGCGCCUCCCUAAUCCAGCCGGGGGGAGUCAUCACGUUGUGGAGCCCACUCCGAGUUCUUGGGCGAUGCUUUGUUGAAAGUCAGGGGCAAGUGAAUGCGUGGCCCUGGGGGGCAGUGGCCUCGUCUCGGGCCACACUUGGCUCUUUUUCUCUGGGCUCCAGGGCUCUGUGUCGCAUCAGUCAGGUCUGGUGACCGCCACUGCCCCUCUUACCGCAGAGGCUUUGCACACGCUGUUGGCUCUGCCUGGAUCCGCUUUCCUUCCUGGUUAAAUCGUUGCGCUCUCAGCCACAGGAAUACAUCAGGCUUCCAGGUAUCACACGGCACCAAAAACCCGGAAUCUGGGGACCCUGCUCUCCAAGCUCAUUUUCCUAAAGCAGCAUCUUCCAGUCCGUUUUCAGGAGUUAUGCUGACCUGAUGGUUGUUGAGGCUGAGGGAGCGGUGUGAGAGCCAGACUCUGAGCCAGGUAGAUUGCCUGUGACCCUCCAGCCCUGGGUGCCAAAGCCACCUGCCCUCAGGAUAUCUUCCUGGAUGUUGGCACCUGGUGGCACUAACUGCCUUUGAUCACUGCUGUCCUUUGAUGUGUCAUACUGAUGUCUGUCUCCUCACUCGACGGUGUGCACUCCGGGCCGGGGCCUGUCUGGGCCGUUCACGCUUGUCUCCACGCUGCCCUGGCCUUUGGGGUCUCAACUCAGGACCCCACUACCGCAUUGGUUUGCAAGUCUGAGUGCAGCCUUAGUUGCCCGAUGGAGGAGCCAGAGGUGGGAUGUAAAGUCCCAAGAAUAGGGGUUUACACAGACACAUCGGGUGUGUGCAGGUGUGUCCCACGCGGUACACUCCCAGGGGUGCCUCUGUGCUGGGGUGCCUGCCUAGAUGCACAGACCUUUGAGUGCCGGGUCCCUGCUGUGAGUGUGUGUGUGUGUGUGUGUGUGUGAGAGAGAGAGAGAGAGAGAGAAUCCCUGAGAUACUGAGGAAGAUUGUGUGUGAGCGAGUGCAUGUUUGAGAGAGAGCAUGAGAGAUUGAUCAGGAGAGAUGGUGAGAGAGAGAGACAUUGUAUGACAGAUUGAGUGAGAGAAUGGUGGGGAGCGAGAUUGAGAAGGAUAUUGAGAGACAAUGAGCAAGAGGGGGAGAGAGAAAGGGAGGGCAGUUGAAUUAAUUGAAUGAGGCCAAGAGAACCUGGUGUCUUUUCCCCACCUGUUCCUACAAAGUGGGGUGCCCCCAGAGCCAGGUGAUUUGGAGGGCUCUCAGCCUCAGAGACCCUGUGGAGGCCAGCCCACAAACAGAAAAGGCCCAAAUCCUGUAUUUGACUAUAGGCUCCCGGGGGGGGUGGGGUGGGUGUGUGUCUGCGAUGGUGGGCUCUUGGAGGGUUCUGGGGGUGGGUCAUGGGCUUGGGGUGCCUUCAUGGUCCUGAGGGAGCAGGGAAUGGUGUUGACCCCUCCUGGUCAGUGUUUCCUGCUGCUCUCUGGCCAGGAAACAAAGAUGAGAGCGUGCUGAGCUGCAGAUGAACUUGAGUGCCUUCUGUGGGCUUGCUCUGGUGGGGCUAGAAGGGGUGGGCAGUUGGGACAGUGUUCAUGGGCCCUGGGAGGGGCAGGGCAUGGAAACCCACAGAAGCAGAAAUCUGGAGAGCAACGUGGGCCAAGGAAUGACUUGGGGUCAGUGGGCCAGUCUGUGGUGCUAAUGGGGAGAAGCAGUGACGCAUGAGGCUUUGCUCCCCACCAGCUUCUCCCACCUCAACCCCCAUCUCGCCUCUAGUUAGCAGAUGCUCCCCGGGAGGGGUGAGGGCUGCGGCAGCUGUGGGGGUAGGAGGAGGCUCCGCCUGCAGGGGCUCUAGCAGGGCCGUGGGUUGGGAUCUGAGGGCAGGUCCAGGAGUUUGCUGGUGACCUUUCAGCCAGGGCCGCUCUGGAGGACCUGGCCCUGCAUGGUGUGUGGGUGUCGGGACUCUGCGCACCCUGAGUGGGCGUGGGGGGGUCCCUGGCUGGGAGAGGGGUACACGCUCUAGCCGAGAUGGGGGGCUCGGAGACGGGAGGGGCCGGUGUGGCCCGGGUGGAGGUGGGGAAGCUGAUCCAGAGCCAUCCGGGGAGGGAUUCUGUGUGAUAGUGUCUCCUGGGGUAGCAGGCCCAUCCGGAGGCAGUGGGCACUCACCAGGUGCCUGGUUCCUGGAGACAGAGCCCAGGGAGGGUGUGGGGUCCCGGGAAACCUGGAGAACCCGAGGGACACAGCUGGAGCCACAGGGUGCCUUCUCCCUUUCCAUCUUUUUUCUCUGGCCCUGAGCACGCUGCUGGGCUGCCCUCCCAGAGCCUGGGGGUGGGGGUGUCACAGUUGACCUUUUCCUGUCCUGCAGAGGACAUGGGGCCCCCGCGGGCCUCCCUGGGCUGGCGGGACUGUGGCCCUGAAACAUCUGUACUUGGCAAGGAAGUGGCCAGCAGUGGUGCUGGUGUGCCUGUGACAUGCUCACCUGUCACUCCUGUUGUCCCACGCUGGCGCCCCUCCUCUCCACACCUCUGCAGGUGCGCCCGCCUGCCACACACACCUGCGCUGUCCACGGGGUAUGCAACUGCCUCACAGACCACCUCCCGGGCCUGAAGCUGCUAGCACACAUCUGUCCAGGCACUGUGUGACGCAGCCGGCUCACUUCCCUGGGACAGUGCCUGGGCCAUCCGUGUCCCUGUCCUCGGUCAGCCUUGCGGACCCUGAGGGUGGGGCUCGAGUCCAGGAGGGGCAUUUCACCAGGCCCAGUGUUUACUCAGCCUCCUUCAAUCCCAGAUUGUUUGGGAAACACGCUCUUCCCCCUGAGCCAGCCGCGCUGGGAGGAUUGCCAAAAGCCUCUUCCGCUGGGCCCUCUGCCUGGGGUCGAUUUCAGCCACCCUCCGCUGUCCUUGCAGCCAGAUGGGGGCUUUGAGUCUCGGCCUUCCCGGCUCGGCUCAGCUCUCUCCUGCCAUGCCCACCAUGUGGUUGACUGUGACCCUGCAGAGGGGGCCUUCCUCCGAUGUGGGGAACAGGUCUCAUGGGGAGUGGAGGGAGGCCCACUGGCCGAGAGGAGUGCCCGCAGGGUGCAGAGAAGGCUCUGUCUGCGAGGAGACAGACUGACCAGGCCGGUACCACGUGGACUGGGAGGCAGAGAGGGGGCCCACCCUGUCAUGUAUGGGGGUCAGGAGCCACUCAUGUGGGUGAGGAGCCCCAUGGUCCUAGGGGAAGACCACAGGAGCCCUGGGUGGGAGUGGUGGGGUCUCCCUGCUAGGAGUCAGGGGGGAAAGUUUGCAUUUAGCUGUGAGGUGGGCCCACCCUCCCUCCUUCUUUUCGCUCUUCUUAUUUAUUUAUUUACUUUUAAAGAUUUUAUUUUAAAGUAAUCUACACCCAACGUGCGGCUUGAACUCACGACCCCGAGAGAUCAAGAGUUGUAUGCUCUCCUGACUGAGCCAGCCAGGCAUCCCUCUCUCGUCUUUAAAAAAAAAAAAAAAAAGUGGGCGCCUGGG
This is an RNA transcript of Mirounga angustirostris (Northern elephant seal), 6111 nucleotides long. It is a transcript of the gene named WT1 interacting protein, with no coding region annotated. The record is from RefSeq and is a predicted model, not a curated record. NCBI's taxonomy places the organism in Eukaryota, Metazoa, Chordata, Mammalia, Carnivora, Phocidae. The transcript has 9 exons.